RNAcentral lists this ribosomal RNA (473 nucleotides) under uncultured organism. Its description in RNAcentral is "partial 16S ribosomal RNA". It matches the Rfam family "Bacterial small subunit ribosomal RNA", at positions 334 to 798 of the family's 1533-position model. The record is from RNAcentral.
CACUCCUGCGGGAGGCAGCAGUGGGGAAUAUUGCACAAUGGGCGCAAGCCUGAUGCAGCCAUGCCGCGUGUAUGAAGAAGGCCUUCGGGUUGUAAAGUACUUUCAGCGGGGAGGAAGGCGAUAAGGUUAAUAACCUUGUCGAUUGACGUUACCCGCAGAAGAAGCACCGGCUAACUCCGUGCCAGCAGCCGCGGUAAUACGGAGGGUGCAAGCGUUAAUCGGAAUUACUGGGCGUAAAGCGCACGCAGGCGGUCUGUCAAGUCGGAUGUGAAAUCCCCGGGCUCAACCUGGGAACUGCAUUCGAAACUGGCAGGCUAGAGUCUUGUAGAGGGGGGUAGAAUUCCAGGUGUAGCGGUGAAAUGCGUAGAGAUCUGGAGGAAUACCGGUGGCGAAGGCGGCCCCCUGGACAAAGACUGACGCUCAGGUGCGAAAGCGUGGGGAGCAAACAGGAUUAGAAACCCCGGUAGUCCCAU